This 2545-nucleotide long non-coding RNA is filed under the name Manduca sexta (tobacco hornworm). Its description in RNAcentral is "uncharacterized LOC119190028". Lineage: Eukaryota; Metazoa; Arthropoda; Insecta; Lepidoptera; Sphingidae. The record is from RNAcentral.
GUGCUUAAAUAUAAUACAGUAUAACCUUUUUAAACUUUGUGUAAAAAAAAUCUCAAAAUAUAUUAUUAUGAUUAUUUUGAUAUAUAUUAAUAAAUGUGACGAUUCGAUUUUGAGAAUAAUUAUCUUCUUUUUUUACAUCCUUUUUUUGAUUCACGAACCUUUAUGAACAGAUUAUUAGCGUCUAUUUACAUUUACGACAUCAGACCAGUGUUGCUUCAAAAGUUAGUAUUUGUAAAACUGUCUCAACUUACAAGACUGGAACAUUUUCACAGAAUUGCUCAGUUAUCUAACUAAUAUAGAAGCAAAAGUUUGUAAAAGUGGUGUGUUUGUAUUAAAACUUGUGUUUUCGGUUAAAGACUGACGCUAUUUUUUAAAUCAAAAAGCCGAUUACACAGAGGGCUUUUGCUGUCAAUUAUUUUUAUACCACAGAUAACACAUCUUUUACCAUAUAUUAAACACAAUAACAGUUUGUUGAAAGUAGACAGUUGGCAUAAUGUUCAUUUGUCAAAAAAAAAGUAAGAACAGAAAGGGCUGGAUGGAUUUGAAUGAAAUUUGGCACACGGAGAGAAGAUAUCUCGAAAUAACACAUAGCCUACGUUAACCUGGCAAUUUAUAGGACUGUAUUUUUUUAAUUUAAUUUUGAUGUAGAUACACUGGCAUCCUACAGGUUUUGCUUUGAACCACUACAGUGUUGUAGAGAUCUUUGCAGCGGGAUAAGCUUAUCACGCGUGCGAAGACGCUAGCUACACUUAGUCUUUUUUAUUGCUUUGAAUGACUAGACGAGCUUGCCGUUCGCCUGAUGGUAAGCGAUACUAUUACUCAUAAACGGUAAAAACCUACCAUACAACACCUUGAAUUACAAAUUAUUGUUUGGUAUUAUACUGCGCUCGCCAUCCUAAUACAUGAGAUGUUAAGUCUUAUUAUGUCCAGCAGUUACACUGGCUACAAUGUCCUUCAAACCGGUACACAACCGUGGCUAUACAUUGCUUGGCGGCAGAAAUAGACAUUGCGGUGGUACCUACCCAGGCGGACUCCCGCAUACAAAAGACCUACCAGUAAAAAUGUAUUAUAAAUGCGAAAGUUUGUGACGAUGUUUGGCCGUCAAACGUAAUUCAAGUAACCAUAAUACCAAUAAACAAUUCUUCCAGAGAUAAAGAAAAUAAAAGCAAGAAAAUAAAACCAUGGCAAAACUUAUUACAUGUACAAACUAUACACCUUUACGAACAAAACUCGACGAUAUGAGAGAUGGACUUGCAGUUCUCGAUGUGGAGCCUACAUAAAGUUUUACUCAAGAAAAUUAAACUGGAGACCGGCAAAGUUCAGUACAUGUACGAAAAUUACACUUAUUACUUGACCGGUAAGACGACGUUUAGCGAGCGAUGGCGCUGCAGUUCAGGCUGUGCCGCCUACAUAUUCGUCAGUAAUGAUGGCCGCCUACUCACUGCCAGGGGGAUGCAUAAACACCCCCCACCGAGGUAUUUUGUCACACCGAAAGGCGUGUACGUCAAGCUUUAAUUGUAUUAUACUGUAGCUUUUUGUAGCUGUUAUUAAGAUUAGGGGUAGGGACGCACGAGCGAUUCAAUAACCGUACCAAUAUUUUUGUGUAGAAAUUCAUGCGGGAAAAUUACCGUAAGUGUGCGUAUACAGAAAGGUUUAGUGUCAACAGCCGAUCAUAUAACCGCCCGUGUGCGCCUACUCUAAAUGUUCAAUAUUUCAUUAAAUAUUUUAAUACUCAAUUUCGUUAUUUGUACUUCAAUAGAAUAAUAUAUGUAUCGUAGGUGUAUUUAUGAAUAGAAUUUGAAGGUUAGAAUAAAUUGAUCUCAUUUUUUUCAUCUAUGUUGUAAAUUUUGAUACAUCUGCAAAAUUAUUCUGCAAAGAAUUUAAACCAUUGUAUAACUACUUUGACUAAAGUUUAUUUAAUAUUAAUAUUGGUAAGGAAACUUUUUUUACCGCCUAAUUGUAUUGAAAAUACUAUAAAGAAUAAUUCAUUGUAGAAGAAUUAAUAUGGACACAUUAUUUCUUAAAAAACUAUAAACUAAUCAUCUUUGUGUUUUCCUGUCGCCAAGUGAAAGAAUGCAGGCAUUAUUAAGUUUUAAAAACAUUAGCAUUAAUUAUGGUAUGUGAAUGUUACAAAAUGAUUAUAUUGUAAGGGUCAUAUCAACGUGUUUUGUUGGGUAAAAACAUACCGCAUUGUACAAUAAUGUUUUAUUAACCUUUUAUAUUAUAAGUAGGAAUAUUACAUGUAUAUUCUCAAAUUAGUGUCAUAAAAGCCAUCCUCCAUUUACUGUCUAUGCAAACGAAGUUUUUAAACAACCCGAUCACGCGCUACAACUGCAACUAAAACGCGGAGUAAAUGCGAAGCACUUAUGAACUGUGUAUCCACUUUUGCAUGAUAAAAUGCGUGCGUGCAAAACGCGAUGUCUGUAUAGACCCUUAGAUCUUUAUCUAAUAUGUAUAUUAUACCUAAUGUUUUAAGAAUUAAGAUUUAUAUUCUCAUAUGUUUCAAAUAAUUUAUGUCUCAAAUAUACGUAAUCAAAUUCUGAAA